CAGCCGCCACGGUAACACGAGGGGAGCUAGCGUUGUUCGGAAUUACUGGGCAUAAAGCGCGCGUAGGCGGCUUUUUAAGUCAGAGGUGAAAGCCCGGGGCUCAACCCCGGAAUUGCCUUUGAAACUGGAAAGCUAGAAUCUUGGAGAGGUCAGUGGAAUUCCGAGUGUAGAGGUGAAAUUCGUAGAUAUUCGGAAGAACACCAGUGGCGAAGGCGACUGACAGGACAAGUAUCGACGCUGAGGUGCGAAAGCGUGGGGAGCAAACAGGAUUAGAUACCCGUGUAGUCCCUGUCUCUUAUAC
Molecule: ribosomal RNA, 301 nt
Filed under: uncultured bacterium
Lineage: Bacteria
Description: partial 16S ribosomal RNA
Rfam family: Bacterial small subunit ribosomal RNA
Source: RNAcentral